RNAcentral lists this ribosomal RNA (66 nucleotides) under uncultured marine bacterium. RNAcentral's name for it is "partial small subunit ribosomal RNA". The record is from RNAcentral.
CAACGCGAAAAACCUUACCAGUUCUUGACAUGAUCCUUAUGGAUCACAGGUGUUGCAUGGCUGUCG